This 53-nucleotide ribosomal RNA is filed under the name Paenalicyclobacillus herbarius. RNAcentral describes it as "Alicyclobacillus herbarius partial 23S ribosomal RNA". The record is from RNAcentral. Lineage: Bacteria; Bacillati; Bacillota; Bacilli; Caryophanales; Alicyclobacillaceae.
GGUGAAGGUAGGAAGGGCGCACGGUGGAUGCCUAGGCGCCAGGAGCCGAAGAG